CGCGUAGGUGGCUUUACAAGUCUGGAGUGAAAGUCCCGUUUUUAAGGUGGGAAUGGCUUUGGAAACUGUAAGGCUUGAGUGUGGGAGAGGAUAGCGGAAUUCCCGGUGUAGCGGUGAAAUGCGUAGAGAUCGGGAGGAACACCAGUGGCGAAGGCGGCUAUCUGGACCAAGACUGACACUGAAGCGCGAAAGCGUGGGUAGCAAAACA
RNAcentral lists this ribosomal RNA (208 nucleotides) under uncultured bacterium. RNAcentral describes it as "partial 16S ribosomal RNA". It matches the Rfam family "Bacterial small subunit ribosomal RNA", at positions 568 to 775 of the family's 1533-position model. The record is from RNAcentral.